GAUAUUUUUUUAUUCAUUAGAUUUUAUACAACAAAAAAGUUUUCUAUAGUAAACGUUAAAGAUGUUAAAAGUUUUAAUGAUAAUUUCGAGGAAAAAUUUUUCCUUGUGAAAGCUGGUGAUGGAAAAUUUCAUCGUGCCCAAAUUUUUUUUAAAAGCAAUUCAAAAAUGGAGGUCGAAAAGAUGUCAGCAUCUAAACGACGACUUAAAUUCAUCCAAUCAAAAGAUGACAGUGCGGUUAUGAAUGACACAGAAAAUAUUCGUGACACUGUAACAAAGAAUAAGAAUGCUAUCGAAACUUCGUUAACAAAAAUAAAAUCGACGAUAAAGAAAAAAAUAUAAUCAUUAAUAAAUGUGGAACAUUUAUAGGAGACGAAAUAAAGUACGUAAGAACAAAAUUAUUGAAAUCUGAAAAGAAGGAAGAGGUUACCGACAAUCAGUAAUCAGAUAAAAGGGCGAGGAAACUUUUGGGAGAAAAAAAUGUAAAUUUUUAAAUAAAAGAAAUGUUUAUAUGUAAAUAAAAUUUACAUGAAAACAAAAAAAA
Molecule: long non-coding RNA, 541 nt
Organism: Leptopilina heterotoma
Lineage: Eukaryota; Metazoa; Arthropoda; Insecta; Hymenoptera; Figitidae
Exons: 4
Source: RefSeq, a predicted model, not a curated record